UACAUUUUAGUAUAUGAUGUACAUAAGUUUUUGAUACUUAGGGGAAUAGUUUAAUUCUAUUAAAUGUAG
Molecule: transfer RNA, 69 nt
Filed under: Eutetrapha metallescens
Lineage: Eukaryota; Metazoa; Arthropoda; Insecta; Coleoptera; Cerambycidae
Description: tRNA-Gln
Source: RNAcentral